This 27-nucleotide non-coding RNA is filed under the name Cricetulus griseus (Chinese hamster). Lineage: Eukaryota; Metazoa; Chordata; Mammalia; Rodentia; Cricetidae. The record is from RNAcentral.
CUGUCUCGAAAAACUAGCCAACCAACC